UCGAACGGAGUCGUUUUGGAAAUCUCUUCGGAGAUGGAAUUCUCGACUUAGUGGCGGACGGGUGAGUAACGCGUGAGCAAUCUGCCUUUAAGAGGGGGAUAACAGUCGGAAACGGCUGCUAAUACCGCAUAAAGCAUCAAAUUCGCAUGUUUUUGAUGCCAAAGGAGCAAUCCGCUUUUAGAUGAGCUCGCGUCUGAUUAGCUGGUUGGCGGGGUAACGGCCCACCAAGGCGGCGAUCAGUAGCCGGACUGAGAGGUUGAACGGCCACAUUGGGACUGAGACACGGCCCAGACUCCUACGGGAGGCAGCAGUGGGGAAUAUUGCGCAAUGGGGGAAACCCUGACGCAGCAACGCCGCGUGAUUGAAGAAGGCCUUCGGGUUGUAAAGAUCUUUAAUCAGGGACGAAACAAAUGACGGUACCUGAAGAAUAAGCUCCGGCUAACUACGUGCCAGCAGCAGCGGUAAUACGUAGGGAGCAAGCGUUAUCCGGAUUUACUGGGUGUAAAGGGCGCGCAGGCGGGCCGGUAAGUUGGAAGUGAAAUCUAUGGGCUUAACCCAUAAACUGCUUUCAAAACUGCUGGUCUUGAGUGAUGGAGAGGCAGGCGGAAUUCCGUGUGUAGCGGU
Molecule: ribosomal RNA, 624 nt
Filed under: uncultured bacterium
Lineage: Bacteria
Description: bacterial SSU rRNA
Rfam family: Bacterial small subunit ribosomal RNA
Source: RNAcentral